RNAcentral lists this ribosomal RNA (468 nucleotides) under uncultured bacterium. RNAcentral's name for it is "partial 16S ribosomal RNA". It matches the Rfam family "Bacterial small subunit ribosomal RNA", at positions 28 to 507 of the family's 1533-position model. The record is from RNAcentral.
GACGAACGCUGGCGGCGUGCUUAACACAUGCAAGUCGAACGGAAAGGCCCUGCUUUUGUGGGGUGCUCGAGUGGCGAACGGGUGAGUAACACGUGAGUAACCUGCCCUUGACUUUGGGAUAACUUCAGGAAACUGGGGCUAAUACCGGAUAGGAGCUCCUGCUGCAUGGUGGGGGUUGGAAAGUUUCGGCGGUUGGGGAUGGACUCGCGGCUCGUCAGCUUGUUGGUGGGGUAGUGGCUUACCAAGGCUUUGACGGGUAGCCGGCCUGAGAGGGUGACCGGCCACGUUGGGACUGAGAUACGGCCCAGACUCCUACGGGAGUCAGCAGUGGGGAAUAUUGCACAGUGGGCGGAAGCCUGAUGCAGCAACGCCGCGUGCGGGGUGACGGCCUUCGGGUUGUAAACCGCUUUCGCCUGUGACGAAGCGUGAGUGACGGUAAUGGGUAAAGAAGCACCGGCUAACUACGUG